This 253-nucleotide ribosomal RNA is filed under the name uncultured bacterium. Its description in RNAcentral is "partial 16S ribosomal RNA". It matches the Rfam family "Bacterial small subunit ribosomal RNA", at positions 524 to 776 of the family's 1533-position model. The record is from RNAcentral.
UACAGAGGUCUCAAGCGUUGUUCGGAUUCAUUGGGCGUAAAGGGUGCGUAGGUGGCGAGGUAAGUCGGAUGUGAAAUCUCAGGGCUCAACCCUGAAACUGCAUUCGAUACUGCCGUGCUUGAGGACUGGAGAGGAGACUGGAAUUUACGGUGUAGCAGUGAAAUGCGUAGAGAUCGUAAGGAAGACCAGUGGCGAAGGCGGGUCUCUGGACAGUUCCUGACACUGAGGCACGAAGGCCAGGGGAGCAAACGGG